UGUGACCUCAAAUCAGGUAGGAUUACCCGCUGAACUUAAGCAUAUCAAUAAGCGGAGGAAAAGAAACUAACAAGGAUUCCCCUAGUAACUGCGAGUGAAGCGGGAAAAGCUCAAAUUUAAAAUCUGGCAGCCUUUGGUUGUCCGAGUUGUAAUCUAGAGAAGUGCUAUCCGCGCUGGACCGUGUACAAGUCUCCUGGAAUGGAGCGUCAUAGAGGGUGAGAAUCCCGUCUUUGACACGGACUGCCAGGGCUUUGUGAUGUGCUCUCGAAGAGUCGAGUUGUUUGGGAAUGCAGCUCAAAAUGGGUGGUAAAUUCCAUCUAAAGCUAAAUAUUGGCGAGAGACCGAUAGCGAACAAGUACCGUGAGGGAAAGAUGAAAAGAACUUUGGAAAGAGAGUUAAACAGUACGUGAAAUUGCUGAAAGGGAAACGCUUGAAGUCAGUCGCGUUGUCCAGGGAUCAACCUUGCUUUUGCUUGGUGCACUUUCUGGUUGACGGGUCAGCAUCAAUUUUGACCAUUGGAAAAAGAUUAGGGGAAUGUGACAUCUUAGGAUGUGUUAUAGCCCUUGGUUGCAUACAAUGGU
RNAcentral lists this ribosomal RNA (581 nucleotides) under Cortinarius acutus. RNAcentral's name for it is "eukaryotic LSU rRNA". It matches the Rfam family "Eukaryotic large subunit ribosomal RNA", at positions 1 to 580 of the family's 3401-position model. The record is from RNAcentral. Lineage: Eukaryota; Fungi; Basidiomycota; Agaricomycetes; Agaricales; Cortinariaceae.